CCUACGGGAGGCAGCAGUGAGGAAUAUUGGUCAAUGGGCUUACGCCUGAACCAGCCAAGUCGCGUGAGGGAAGACUGCCCUAUGGGUUGUAAACCUCUUUUGUCAGGGAGCAAUUGGCGCUACGUGUAGCGUUAUCGAGAGUACCUGAAGAAAAAGCAUCGGCUAACUCCGUGCCAGCAGCCGCGGUAAUACGGAGGAUGCGAGCGUUAUCCGGAUUGAUUGGUUUAAAAGGGUACGUAGACGGAAUGCCAAGUCAGCGGUAAAAUCGGGGGGCUCAACCUCGCUCCGCCGUUGAAACUGGCGUUCUUGAGUGGGCGAGAGGUAUGCGGAAUGCGUGGUGUAGCGGUGAAAUGCAUAGAUAUCACGCAGAACUCCGAUUGCGAAGGCAGCAUACCGGCGCCCAACUGACGCUGAAGCACGAAAGCGUGGGUAUCGAACAGGAUUAGAUACCCUAGUAGUC
RNAcentral lists this ribosomal RNA (460 nucleotides) under uncultured bacterium. RNAcentral describes it as "partial 16S ribosomal RNA". It matches the Rfam family "Bacterial small subunit ribosomal RNA", at positions 338 to 795 of the family's 1533-position model. The record is from RNAcentral.